GUGAUAGUAUAGCUUGGCUAGUACUCAGGACUGUGGAUCCUGGAGCCCGGGUUCAAAUCCCGGUCCCGGCCCCA
Molecule: transfer RNA, 74 nt
Filed under: Nanobdellota archaeon
Lineage: Archaea; Nanobdellati; Nanobdellota
Description: tRNA-His
Rfam family: tRNA
About the family: Transfer RNA (tRNA) molecules are approximately 80 nucleotides in length. Their secondary structure includes four short double-helical elements and three loops (D, anti-codon, and T loops).
Source: RNAcentral